GAUGAACGAGGGCGGGGGGAGGAAAAAAGGCAAGUCGAACGGUGAAGGCGGAGCUUGCUCUGCUGGAUCAGUGGCGAACGGGUGAGUAACACGUGAGCAAUCUGCCCCUGACUCUGGGAUAAGCGCUGGAAACGGCGUCUAAUACUGGAUACGAGCUGCGAAGGCAUCUUCAGCAGCUGGAAAGAACUUCGGUCAGGGAUGAGCUCGCGGCCUAUCAGCUUGUUGGUGAGGUAACGGCUCACCAAGGCGUCGACGGGUAGCCGGCCUGAGAGGGUGACCGGCCACACUGGGACUGAGACACGGCCCAGACGCCUACGGGAGGCAGCAGUGGGGAAUAUGGCACAAUGAGCGAAAGCCUGAUGCGACAACGCCGCGUGAGGGACGUCGUGCUUCGGGUUGUGAACCUCUUUUAGCAAGGAAGAAGCGAAAGUGACGGUACCUGCAGAAAAAGCGCCGGCUACCUACGUC
RNAcentral lists this ribosomal RNA (468 nucleotides) under uncultured bacterium. RNAcentral's name for it is "partial 16S ribosomal RNA". It matches the Rfam family "Bacterial small subunit ribosomal RNA", at positions 28 to 507 of the family's 1533-position model. The record is from RNAcentral.